CUAGAGGUACAUUUCCCAUCGCCAUGACAACCAGUACGAAUAUUGUCAGCGCUGACGCGGCGGAUAGUACUAUGUUGAAUAUGAGACCGGCGAUAAUACCUAUAAAUGACGUAACAAGCGCCUGUAAAUAAAAACAUGAUGAUGAACAAGCAAAUACAAAAGUUAGCAAGCAAACAGACAAACAAAAGGACAAAAGAAAAAACAGACGGAGUAAGUAAAGUCUAAGUCCUCUAGAGCAGGGUUUUGCUAAGCAGAAAAGUCUAAUCUUUAUGUGCAUACUAAAGUAAGAGCGCACUUGACAUGGUGAUCACAUCGCGGUCUGUCUUCACCUUUUACCACAGGGUACCCGUAUAUUAAUAUUAGAGUACAACGCCUGGUCCUGUUCUCUAUGAAUAGGCGAUUUGCAGGCUAAAUUGAAGCUAGAAUUGAAUUAAAGGCAAAAUAAAAACAACAACAAAAGUGCCCAGGGGUAAUGUUACGGUC
Nematostella vectensis (starlet sea anemone) is the source of this 483-nucleotide long non-coding RNA. RefSeq lists it as uncharacterized. The record is from RefSeq and is a predicted model, not a curated record. The transcript is spliced from 2 exons. Lineage: Eukaryota; Metazoa; Cnidaria; Anthozoa; Actiniaria; Edwardsiidae.